CCUACGGGAGGCAGCAGUGAGGAAUAUUGGUCAAUGGACGAGAGUCUGAACCAGCCAAGUAGCGUGAAGGAUGACUGCCCUAUGGGUUGUAAACUUCUUUUAUAUGGGAAUAAAAUGUUCCACGUGUGGGAUUUUGUAUGUACCAUAUGAAUAAGGAUCGGCUAACUCCGUGCCAGCAGCCGCGGUAAUAUGGAGGAUCCGAGCGUUAUCCGGAUUUAUUGGGUUUAAAUGGAGCGUAGGUGGAUUGUUAAGUCAGUUGUGAAAGUUUGCGGCUCAACCGUAAAAUUGCAGUUGACACUGGCAGUCUUGAGUACAGUAGAGGUGGGCGGAAUUCGUGGUGUAGCGGUGAAAUGCUUAGAUAUCACGAAGAACUCCGAUUGCGAAGGCAGUUCACUGGACUGCAACUGACACUGAGGCUCGAAAGUGUGGGUAUCAAACAGGAUUAGAUACCCCUGUAGUC
RNAcentral lists this ribosomal RNA (460 nucleotides) under uncultured bacterium. RNAcentral's name for it is "partial 16S ribosomal RNA". It matches the Rfam family "Bacterial small subunit ribosomal RNA", at positions 338 to 795 of the family's 1533-position model. The record is from RNAcentral.